RNAcentral lists this long non-coding RNA (2708 nucleotides) under Canis lupus familiaris (dog). RNAcentral describes it as "lncRNA (ENSCAFG00000050362.1, ENSCAFG00805011261.1)". Lineage: Eukaryota; Metazoa; Chordata; Mammalia; Carnivora; Canidae. The record is from RNAcentral.
UACUUUUUAUUUUUUUUUAAAUUUUUAUUUAUUUAUGAUAGUCACAGAGAGAGAGAGAGAGGCAGAGACACAGGCAGAGGGAGAAGCAGGCUCCAUGCACCGGGAGCCUGAUGUGGGAUUCGAUCCUGGGUCUCCAGGAUCGCGCCCUGGGCCAAAGGCAGGCGCCAAACCGCUGCGCCACCCAGGGAUCCCGUUAUACUUUUUAAACCAUAAAAAGUUCCUGACUUUUUAGGGAGACUAAUUUUCUCUGUAUUUGAAAAGCAGUAAUGUUGCCACAUUGCAUCAGAAACUUUAUUACAGAAGUAUAAAAGUAUAAACGUAUCAGUAAACUAACCAGACGUUAAUGGCAUUAGGACUGAAGAAAAAUGAAAUAGAAAUUUUUAUAGUCUAUCAAACAUUUGUCUGGAUUCUGUAAUCAUAUAAGAAAGGUUGCUAUUUGUGCCUCUGUAAAUAAAAUCAAAUCUCACUCUCCUCAUGUAUUUGCAAAAUGAUUAAGUGUUAAUUUGUAUAUAUAACACAAGACUAUAGAACAAGAAUUUGGCUCUUUACAUUUAAAGUUUAUAAAGUCAGAUUAAUUUAAUUGACUAGAUUUUUCACAAAGAUGAUAAAUACUUUCAGCAAUCUUCUGUUUAAUUAUUUUAGAAAAAGUGAUUUUAGAAAUUCUUUAAAAUUAAAGAACUAAAGAUUACUCUUCCUUAUAUGUAAGUGUUUAAUUCCCUCUAAGAUUAGUGGGAGUUACAUGUGCACAUUAAGAAAAGACUAUAAGCUAAGCCUCAAUUUCAAACAUUUUCUAAAAGUACUUUUCGAAAGCUUAACUAGCUAGAGUGGCUACAUGUUUUUCACCCACGCUUAUGCACAAACACUUCCAAGGGGACUGCACUUACUUUAAAAACCUAAAAUCAUAGAAGCAUGUUAUGUUAACCAAGUUCAAUAAAAAACAACCACAAAUGGAAUGCAAAAUAUCUUUUCAAUCUUUCUGUAAUCACUUCUGAAUGGAAAAGAGAGCCACCUGGGGCUGAAAGUAUAUUACCAGUCAUUUUAAUAAUGUAAUUAUUUGAAAAAUAUAACUACUGGAAAAUGCCACUGACACAAAAUAUCAAAUAUAUAUACAUUUGUGUAUACUGCUAAUUCUAUACUUUAGAAUUCAUACUUUUAAGCAUAUGAAUAGGUAAAUAUUGUCUAAAUACAAUGGGAAAGAUGAAGACUGCUGUGCAUAUCAUCUACAGAUUAUUCAUGCAUGGAAAAUCUCAUAAUCGGGGGUAAUAGUGAAGUGAGCCUCAGGAUUAUGGCAACAUUUAGUUCUCUCGCUAAAAUCUUCAUCAUCUUGAAAGGAUAAAUGACAUUUAAAGAUUCCCUAAGUGGUGCUAUGUAAUCUUUUAUCUUUUCUCUUUCUUCUUAACUUCCAGAAUUUGUUGUUGUUGUUACAUUUAAUGCUAUAUAUGUACUGAAGAUCCUUGCAGAGGCCAUCUUUCUAAAGAAAUAGUUGAAAAUGCCAUGAAUAUCCUAGGAAAGGUCAGCAGUGACAAAGAGUGUUAUCUUCUUCCUUAUGCAAAUUUGCAGGGAAGACUAUAAUUGUUUAGUUAGCCAAAGUAUUUAUGUAACAUCCAUUAAUUAAACUUUUACUGUUUAACAUCUGUUAAUUAAACUCCUACUGGGCUAACCAUGGAAGGCAAUACAAAAAAAAAUUAGCUUUUAUUACAUGGUUUCUGCUAUAUACUAUUUAUGUAUAGCAAAUAAUACACAAAAAAUAUCAGUUAAGGGUUAAGCUGAGUUGUAAAGAUGUUAAAGGCAACAAAAGUUUCAGAAUUUGGAAAAUGACUGUGGGUUGUAGGAGCCAUAAAAAAUUCACAAAUUAGAUGGAUAUCCCCAGAUAGAAGGAAACAGAAUGAGCCAUGGUGUGAGAGAGAGGAAUGAACCUGGCUUUUGUGAGUGACAAUAGAAUGGUCAGCUUAUUUGAAGCAAAGCAUAUGUUGGGGAGUCACACAAGAUGGGAUAUAAGGAGAAAGGUAAGAAUAGAAAUGAAGGAACUUCAAAUGCAGAGGUAUUUGGGAGGAAAUAGGGAGCUAAUGGAAACACAUGACAUUGUGUUUUAUAAUCAUCUAGGAGUAUAAAGAAAAAAGAAACAAGAAAAUUAAGACCAUCAUAAUCAUCUGGGCAUGAUACAGUAAGAAUCUGGCCCUAGUAGAAUUAAUGGCAAUCUCCAAAGGUAUGGAAAAUUUAUACCCUUGAUUAGCUGCUAACUAUAUUCUUUAUCUCCUAUUUAGGUAUCAUUAAGCAAAAUAAACUAUUUUUUAAAUUUUAAUUUAGAUUGAAAAACAUGAUGAAAUAAAGCUAUAAGAGUUUUCAGAAGAAAUUUCAAGAAAGAACUUUUAAAGAUAAUUUCUCUAGAGUGACUUAAGCAAUAUUGGUGUAGAAGUAAUAUUGCCACAAACUCUGGUUAUUGUGUAGUAUUUGCUUUGCUACCUGAGUUGAUGAUUAGUCACAAGUAAUCAAGAGCUAGUGUUCUUUUGGCUAGAGGAGAUUUGUAGAUUUUUUUUUUUCAUACUAAAAUUUACAUUAGAAGAUGGGAACUCUUUAGGUAAAAUAGAAGAAAUAUUUCAAAACAAAGAUACAAAAGUGGAGCGGUGCCUUGGUGGCUUAGUUGGUUAAGUGUCCUGCUCUUGAUUUCAGCUCAGGUCAUGAUCUCAGGGUUAUGAGAUUGAGUCCCG